This 24-nucleotide microRNA is filed under the name Zea mays. RNAcentral's name for it is "microRNA miR-3094". Lineage: Eukaryota; Viridiplantae; Streptophyta; Magnoliopsida; Poales; Poaceae. The record is from RNAcentral.
AAACGUGUCGGGCUUUAAACGGGC